GCCCUAGUAGCUUAGACUAAAGCACCGGUCUUGUAAGCCGGAGAUUGAAGGUUAAAACCCAUCCUAGCGCU
This 71-nucleotide transfer RNA is filed under the name Notacanthus chemnitzii (spiny eel). RNAcentral's name for it is "tRNA-Thr". It matches the Rfam family "tRNA". From Rfam's summary of the family: Transfer RNA (tRNA) molecules are approximately 80 nucleotides in length. Their secondary structure includes four short double-helical elements and three loops (D, anti-codon, and T loops). The record is from RNAcentral. Lineage: Eukaryota; Metazoa; Chordata; Actinopteri; Notacanthiformes; Notacanthidae.